AAUCAACGCUGGCGGCGUGCCUAACACAUGCAAGUCGAACGCGAAAAGGGCCUCGGCUCUUAGUAGAGUGGCAAACGGGUGAGUAACACGUGGGUGACCUACCUUCGAAUGGGGGAUAACGUCCCGAAAGGGACGCUAAUACCGCAUAACAUCCUGCCUUUGAACAGGUGGAGAUCAAAGCCGGGGAUCGCAAGACCUGGCGUUUGAAGAGGGGCCCGCGUCUGAUUAGCUAGUUGGGAGGUAACGGCUCACCAAGGCGACGAUCAGUAUCCGGCCUGAGAGGGCGGACGGACACACUGGGACUGAGACACGGCCCAGACUCCUACGGGAGGCAGCAGUGGGGAAUUGUUCGCAAUGGGCGCAAGCCUGACGACGCAACGCCGCGUGGAGGAUGAAGGUCUUCGGAUUGUAAACCUCUUUCAGCUCCGACGAAGCGAGAGUGACGGUAGGAGCAGAAGAAGCACCGGCCAACUACGUGCCAGCCG
This 485-nucleotide ribosomal RNA is filed under the name uncultured bacterium. RNAcentral describes it as "bacterial SSU rRNA". It matches the Rfam family "Bacterial small subunit ribosomal RNA", at positions 32 to 514 of the family's 1533-position model. The record is from RNAcentral.